Molecule: ribosomal RNA, 253 nt
Filed under: uncultured bacterium
Lineage: Bacteria
Description: partial 16S ribosomal RNA
Rfam family: Bacterial small subunit ribosomal RNA
Source: RNAcentral
UACGUAGGGGGCAAGCGUUGUCCGGAUUUAUUGGGCGUAAAGAGCGUGUAGGCGGCUUGGUAGGUCCGCUGUGAAAACUCGAGGCUCAACCUCGAGAUGUCGGCGGAAACCACUUGGCUAGAGUCCGGAAGAGGAGAGUGGAAUUCCCAGUGUAGCGGUGAAAUGCGUAGAUAUUGGGAGGAACACCAGUGGCGAAGGCGGCUCACUGGACCGGUACUGACGCUGAUGCGCGAAAGCGUGGGGAGCAAACAGG